Molecule: ribosomal RNA, 433 nt
Filed under: uncultured bacterium
Lineage: Bacteria
Description: partial 16S ribosomal RNA
Rfam family: Bacterial small subunit ribosomal RNA
Source: RNAcentral
AACGAACGCUGGCGGCAUGCCUAACACAUGCAAGUCGAACGAGACCUUCGGGUCUAGUGGCGCACGGGUGCGUAACGCGUGGGAAUCUGCCCUUCGGUUGGGAAUAACUGAGAGAAAUUUCAGCUAAUACCUUAUAAUGUCUUCGGACCAAAGAUUUAUCGCCGAGGGAUGAGCCCGCGUAGGAUUAGGUAGUUGGUGGGGUAAUGGCCUACCAAGCCGACGAUCCUUAGCUGGUCUGAGAGGAUGAUCAGCCACACUGGGACUGAGACACGGCCCAGACUCCUACGGGAGGCAGCAGUGGGGAAUAUUGGACAAUGGGCGAAAGCCUGAUCCAGCAAUGCCGCGUGAGUGAUGAAGGCCUUAGGGUUGUAAAGCUCUUUUACCCGGGAUGAUAAUGACGGUACCGGGAGAAUAAGCUCCGGCUAACUCCGUG